RNAcentral lists this ribosomal RNA (435 nucleotides) under Triticum aestivum (bread wheat). RNAcentral describes it as "partial small subunit ribosomal RNA". Lineage: Eukaryota; Viridiplantae; Streptophyta; Magnoliopsida; Poales; Poaceae. The record is from RNAcentral.
UUGUGGGCCAGACCUGGUGUACGUGUCUGGGAUGAGCACAAAGGAGAGGAAUUUGACCUACGAGCGUUGCUUUUUGUAACCAUCAACGAUUGGCCUGCUCUCAGUAACCUUUCGGGACAGACAAAUAAGGGAUACAAUGCAUGCACGCACUGCUUACAUGAGACUGAAAGUGUACGUUUGGUUAAUUGUAAGAAGAACGUGUACCUGGGUCAUCGUCGAUUUCUUCCCCGAAAUCAUAACGUAAGAAAGAAAGGCAAGCAUUUCAACGGCAAGGCAGAUCACCGGCCGAAGCCUGCGGAACGUACUGGUGCUGAGAUAUUUGAUAUGGUCAAGGAUUUGAAAGUCAUCUUUGGAAAGGGUCCUGGCGGACAAUCAGUUCCGCGGGGAGUUGACGGGCACGCACCCAUGUGGAAGAAGAAAUCUAUAUUUUGGGAA